This 497-nucleotide ribosomal RNA is filed under the name uncultured bacterium. Its description in RNAcentral is "partial 16S ribosomal RNA". It matches the Rfam family "Bacterial small subunit ribosomal RNA", at positions 28 to 507 of the family's 1533-position model. The record is from RNAcentral.
GAUGAACGCUGGCGGCGUGCCUAAUACAUGCAAGUCGAGCGAACAGAUGAGGAGCUUGCUCCUCUGACGUUAGCGGCGGACGGGUGAGUAACACGUGGAUAACCUACCUAUAAGACUGGGAUAACUUCGGGAAACCGGAGCUAAUACCGGAUAAUAUAUUGAAUCGCAUGGUUCAAUAGUGAAAGACGGUUUUGCUGUCACUUAUAGAUGGAUCCGCGCCGCAUUAGCUAGUUGGUAAGGUAACGGCUUACCAAGGCAACGAUGCGUAGCCGACCUGAGAGGGUGAUCGGCCACACUGGAACUGAGACACGGUCCAGACUCCUACGGGAGGCAGCAGUAGGGAAUCUUCCGCAAUGGGCGAAAGCCUGACGGAGCAACGCCGCGUAAGUGAUGAAGGUCUUCGGAUCGUAAAACUCUGUUAUUAGGGAAGAACAAAUGUGUAAGUAACUAUGCACGUCUUGACGGUACCUAAUCAGAAAGCCACGGCUAACUACGUG